RNAcentral lists this ribosomal RNA (224 nucleotides) under uncultured bacterium. RNAcentral's name for it is "partial 16S ribosomal RNA". It matches the Rfam family "Bacterial small subunit ribosomal RNA", at positions 15 to 232 of the family's 1533-position model. The record is from RNAcentral.
GAUCAUGGCUCAGGAUGAACGCUAGCUACAGGCUUAACACAUGCAAGUCGAGGGGCAGCGGGAUUGAAGCUUGCUUCAAUUGCCGGCGACCGGCGCACGGGUGAGUAACGCGUAUCCAACCUUCCGUACACUCAGGGAUAGCCUUUCGAAGAAAGAUAAUACUGAUGGUAUGAUGAGAUUGCAUGAUAUCAUCAUUAAAGAAUUUAUCGGUGUACGAUGGGGAG